Small nuclear RNA from Callithrix jacchus (white-tufted-ear marmoset), 108 nucleotides. NCBI's taxonomy places the organism in Eukaryota, Metazoa, Chordata, Mammalia, Primates, Cebidae. The record is from Ensembl.
UGCAGUAUCACUUUGCAGCCAUAUACUAAAAUUGGAACUAUACAGAGAAGAUUAGCAGGGCCCUUGUGCAAGGAUUACACACAAAUUUGUGAAGUGUUUUGUAUAUAU